This 863-nucleotide long non-coding RNA is filed under the name Anas platyrhynchos platyrhynchos (common mallard). RNAcentral's name for it is "lncRNA (ENSAPLG00000031145.1)". Lineage: Eukaryota; Metazoa; Chordata; Aves; Anseriformes; Anatidae. The record is from RNAcentral.
CUCCAGUGUAGGUUAUCUAUGAAACAAACCCAUUUUACCUAUCUAGAAACUAAAGCUUUGCCAUUUGUUCAUCCAUUCUUUUCUGCCUUGUUAUAAAAUAUUCAAUUUCUUGUAACGUCACCAAGCAGGUGAAAAAAAAUCUGUAUUAAAGUUUGCAAAAUUCAUUUGUAAUCUUCUAUCUUUAUUUUUUUACACAGAGUGUAUUUUCUCAUUUCAGAACAUUCUGCAAUUUACCUGCAAAAUGGAACUGCUGCUUAUGGCUGUUAGCAGUUGCAACAUUUCUUUACGCCCGGUGACCCCCAUUUCCACGUGCCCAGCUCCCAGAAGCUUCUCUGUGUGCCCAGCUGCCUCAGCCCGACUGCGAGAUGUCUGGCUCUCGCUGGGAGCCAGAAAGGAAGAGGAACGGCACGUCGAUCCGCGGAGCACAUCCUCCCACGCGCUGGCAGGCCCUGGUCCCCACAGGAUCCGAUUGCAGAAACUCUAUUUUUUUUUUUUUUUUCCUUUCUAAAUGUUGCUGAUGGAAGAGAUGGUUGUGGCUCCGUCUUCUCUGUAACCUGUAGCCGGGCUUUUGGAGAAGUCGAGCCAAGAAGCGGGUAACCCAGUUUGUUCUUAUCUUCUUGGAGGCCACCACCACGUUGCCCAGCUCCAGGAGGAGUGCUCAGAGCAGUAGGUUGCGGACCAGCCUGGGGAGGCUGAUUCCCUAAAGCUUUUGUUGGGGUUUUACCACUGUGUGCAAGAAGUAUUACACUAGGGGGUUAAAAAAGAAAAGGACUGUGACUGUGGCUUAAUCUGAACCGUAUGUGGGCACCACCAGCAAGUCCUGCAGGCUGGGCUCUUAACUCUUUUUUAAGAACAGGAGCUUU